Molecule: ribosomal RNA, 513 nt
Filed under: uncultured bacterium
Lineage: Bacteria
Description: bacterial SSU rRNA
Rfam family: Bacterial small subunit ribosomal RNA
Source: RNAcentral
UUGAUCAUGGCUCAGGAUGAACGCUAGCGGCAGGCUUAACACAUGCAAGUCGAGGGGCAGCGGGAUGUAGCAAUACAUUGCCGGCGACCGGCGGAUGGGUGCGUAACGCGUAUGCAACCUACCUUAUACAGGGGAAUAACCUUUCGAAAGGGAGACUAACACCCCAUAGUAUUGAUUUAAGGCAUCUUAGAUUAAUUAAAUAUUUAUAGGUAUAAGAUGGGCAUGCGUAUGAUUAGCUAGUUGGUAAGGUAACGGCUUACCAAGGCGACGAUCAUUAGGGGUUCUGAGAGGAAGGUCCCCCACACUGGUACUGAGACACGGACCAGACUCCUACGGGAGGCAGCAGUGAGGAAUAUUGGUCAAUGGGCGCAAGCCUGAACCAGCCAUGCCGCGUGCAGGAAAGACGGCCUUAUGGGUUGUAAACUGCUUUUACAUAAGACUAACCGUAUAUUUGCGAAUAUACCUGAAUGUAUUAUGAGAAUAAGGAUCGGCUAACUCCGUGCCAGCAGCCGC